CCUACGGGUGGCUGCAGUGAGGAAUAUUGGUCAAUGGGCGCGAGCCUGAACCAGCCAAGUAGCGUGAAGGAUGACUGCCCUACGGGUUGUAAACUUCUGUUAUAAAGGAAUAAAGUGAGGCACGUGUGCCUUUUUGUAUGUACUUUAUGAAUAAGGAUCGGCUAACUCCGUGCCAGCAGCCGCGGUAAUACGGAGGAUCCGAGCGUUAUCCGGAUUUAUUGGGUUUAAAGGGAGCGUAGAUGGGUUGUUUAGUCAGUGGUGAAAGUUUGCGGCUCAACCGGAAAAUUGCAAUUGCUACUGGCAGCCUUGAGUACAGUUGAGGUAGGCUGAAUUCGUGUUGUAGCGGU
RNAcentral lists this ribosomal RNA (347 nucleotides) under uncultured bacterium. Its description in RNAcentral is "partial 16S ribosomal RNA". It matches the Rfam family "Bacterial small subunit ribosomal RNA", at positions 338 to 682 of the family's 1533-position model. The record is from RNAcentral.